UAAGGAAUAUUGGUCAAUGGACGCAAGUCUGAACCAGCCAUGCCGCGUGAAGGAUGAAGGCCCUCUGGGUUGUAAACUUCUUUUAUCUGGGAAGAAACCACUUCUUUAUAGAGGUGUUGACGGUACCAGAGGAAUAAGCACCGGCUAACUCCGUGCCAGCAGCCGCGGUAAUACGGAGGGUGCAAGCGUUAUCCGGAUUCACUGGGUUUAAAGGGUGCGUAGGUGGGUCUGUAAGUCAGUGGUGAAAUCUCCGUGCUUAACAUGGAAACUGCCAUUGAUACUAUAGGUCUUGAAUUUUCUGGAGGUAAGCGGAAUAUGUCAUGUAGCGGUGAAAUGCUUAGAUAUGACAUAGAACACCAAUUGCGAAGGCAGCUUGCUACAGGGAUAUUGACACUGAGGCACGAAAGCGUGGGGAUCAAACAG
RNAcentral lists this ribosomal RNA (423 nucleotides) under uncultured bacterium. RNAcentral's name for it is "bacterial SSU rRNA". It matches the Rfam family "Bacterial small subunit ribosomal RNA", at positions 355 to 775 of the family's 1533-position model. The record is from RNAcentral.